GGUAGAGCACUGACAGGGCUAGGGGGCAUACCCGCCUACCAACCCCUAUCAAACUCCGAAUACCAUUCAAUAGAGCGCAGCAGUGAGACGGCGGGGGAUAAGCUUCGUCGUCGAGAGGGAAACAGCCCAGAUCAGCAGCUAAGGUGCCUAAAUUGUGCUCAGUGGAAAGGAGGUGAGGUUUCAUAGACAGUGAGGAUGUUGGCUUAGAAGCAGCCACCAUUUAAAAAAUGCGUAAUAGCUUACUCAUCGAGAGACCUUGCGCCGAAAAUACUUGGCGAUAAGCACAAUACCGAAGCUCUGGGUGUCCUAGUUUACUAGGGCGCGGUAGAGGAGCAUUCUCUGUGCAGUGAAGGGUGAUGGCGACUGACCCUGGAGCGCAGAGAAGUGAGAAUGCAGACAUGAGUAACGAUAAGAGCGGUGAAAUCCCGCUCCGCCGUAAAUCCAAGGUUUCCCGGGCAACGUUUUUCGUCCCGGGGUUAGUCGGGACCUAACCCGAGGCCGAUGGGCGUAGGGGAUGGUAAGCAGGUUAAUAUUCCUGCACCCAGUAAGGAGGACGCAUAAUGAAAAGCUACUAGGUUAUUGAAUUCCGAGGCGAGGCUUAGGCCGGACCGUAUAGCUGGACAGAGUGCCAAGAAAAGCCCUUACAUUAAUGGCCCGUACCGUAAACCGACACAGGUGGAUGGGUAGAAUAUACCAAGGCGCAAGAGUGAAACCUGGUCAAGGAACUCGGCAAAAUAGCCCCGUAACUUCGGAAGAAGGGGUGCCCCCUCUGGGGGGCCGCAGUGAAAUGGCCCAACCGACUGUUUAGCAAAAACACAGCAUUGUGCUAAGGCGUAAGCCGACGUAUACGAUGUGACACGUGACCAAUGCCAAAAGAUUACGGUAAGAUGUUAGCACUUUAGUGCGAAGCUUCGAGCCCAAGUCCUGGUGAAUGUCGGCCGUAACUAUAACGGUCCUAAGGUAGCGAAAUUCCUUGUCGGGUAAGUUCCGACCUGCACGAAUCGUGCAACGAGUUGGGCGCUGUCUCGACCAGGUGCUCAGUGAAAUUGUAGUUCCGGUGAAGAUGCCGGACACCCGCAGAAGGACGGAAAGACCCUAUAGACCUUAACUGUAAGCUGUUAUUGGUUGUUCGAUCUUAAUGCUCAGCAUAAGUGGGAGACAUUGAAGGGUGCGUUUAGGCGCAUCUGGAGUCAUCAGUGAGAUACCACCCUUUAAUAUUGGAUAAUCUAACCCCGAGCCGUCAUCCGGCCGUGGGGACAAUGGCAGCCGGUCAGUUUUACUGGGGCGGUAUCCUCCUAAAGAGUAACGGAGGAGCGCGAAGGUGGGCUCAGCACAGUUGGCAACUGUGUGUUGAGUGUAAAGGCACAAGCCCGCCUAACUGUGAGACCUACAAGUCGAGCAGAUACGAAAGUAGGCCUUAGUGAUCCGGCGGUAGAAUGUGGAAUUGCCGUCGCUCAACGGAUAAAAGGUACCUUAGGGAUAACAGGCUUAUCACGCCCAAGAGUUCAUAUCGACGGCGUGGUUUGGCACCUCGAUGUCGGCUCGUCGCAUCCUGGGGCUGGAGAAGGUCCCAAGGGUCCGGCUGUUCGCCGGUUAAAGCGGCACGCGAGCUGGGUUCAGAACGUCGCGAGACAGUUCGGUCCUCUAUCCUCUGUGGGCGUAGGAAAAUUGAAGGGUUCAGACCUUAGUACGAGAGGACCGGGUUUGACGCACCUCUGGUGUUCCAGUUGUUCUGUCAAGGGCACUGCUGGGUAGCUAAGUGCGGAACGGAUAAGCGCUGAAAGCAUCUAAGCGCCAAGCCAUUCCUGAGAUAAAUUUUCCCUGAAGGAUCGUGGAAGACGACCACGUUGAUAGGCUGGGGGUAGAAGUGCAGCAAUGUAUGUAGCUCACCAGUACUAAUCAUCCGUUCGACUUAAUUCC
This 1920-nucleotide ribosomal RNA is filed under the name Akkermansiaceae bacterium. RNAcentral describes it as "partial 23S ribosomal RNA". It matches the Rfam family "Bacterial large subunit ribosomal RNA", at positions 901 to 2925 of the family's 2925-position model. The record is from RNAcentral. Lineage: Bacteria; Pseudomonadati; Verrucomicrobiota; Verrucomicrobiia; Verrucomicrobiales; Akkermansiaceae.